CUUAUUUUUACUUACCCUGUUGCUAAAGUGGUGUGGCGCUGUAUUGGGAUGGCAUUGGGUACAGACAGGUGUCCAAAUAACUACUGGCAAUACUAUGCUUGGUGCAACACUUUCCUCCCUGGUGGAGAGAAAUACUAUACCGUAGGCCUGGCUGCCACGUGUUGGGCUAUAUGGCUUGCUCGUAAUCGAGCUACCUUUGAAAAAAAUAUAUCAAAACACCUUUCGAUAUUGUUUUCUCCAUGUGUUCCUUUCUCAUUUAUUGGACAGGUCUUCAAAGCAAAGGAAGAGCCAAGGAGCUGCAGGGAGGCGCAGAGAUGA
This 318-nucleotide ribosomal RNA is filed under the name Triticum aestivum (bread wheat). RNAcentral describes it as "partial small subunit ribosomal RNA". Lineage: Eukaryota; Viridiplantae; Streptophyta; Magnoliopsida; Poales; Poaceae. The record is from RNAcentral.